AGUAACACGUAGGAACCUGCCGCGUCGAGGGGGAUAACAGUCGGAAACGGCUGCUAAUACCGCAUGUGGUCUUCCCUUCUGGGAAGAAGAAAGCAGCAAUGCGCGACGUGAGGGGCCUGCGGCCGAUUAGCUAGUUGGUGUGGUAACGGCAUACCAAGGCGACGAUCGGUAGCUGGUCUGAGAGGAUGGUCAGCCACACUGGGACUGAGACACGGCCCAG
Molecule: ribosomal RNA, 220 nt
Filed under: uncultured bacterium
Lineage: Bacteria
Description: partial 16S ribosomal RNA
Rfam family: Bacterial small subunit ribosomal RNA
Source: RNAcentral